AGUGAACGCUGGCGGUAGGCCUAACACAUGCAAGUCGAACGGCAGCACAGUAAGAGCUUGCUCUUACGGGUGGCGAGUGGCGGACGGGUGAGGAAUACAUCGGAAUCUACUUUUUCGUGGGGGAUAACGUAGGGAAACUUACGCUAAUACCGCAUACGACCUACGGGUGAAAGCAGGGGAUCUUCGGACCUUGCGCGAUUGAAUGAGCCGAUGUCGGAUUAGCUAGUUGGCGGGGUAAAGGCCCACCAAGGCGACGAUCCGUAGCUGGUCUGAGAGGAUGAUCAGCCACACUGGAACUGAGACACGGUCCAGACUCCUACGGGAGGCAGCAGUGGGGAAAAUUGGACAAUGGGCGCAAGCCUGAUCCAGCCAUACCGCGUGGGUGAAGAAGGCCUUCGGGUUGUAAAGCCCUUUUGUUGGGAAAGAAAAGCAGCAGGUUAAUACCCCGCUGUUCUGACGGUACCCAAAGAAUAAGCACCGGCUAACUUCGU
Molecule: ribosomal RNA, 491 nt
Filed under: uncultured bacterium
Lineage: Bacteria
Description: partial 16S ribosomal RNA
Rfam family: Bacterial small subunit ribosomal RNA
Source: RNAcentral